CAAUCAAAUAUAUUAAUUAUUAAGCAACAGCCAAUAUGUUGUGUUGGUUAUUAAAUUAUUUUAGGCGUUUAUUCUUACAGCUGGUUUGGAGAUAGCUUCGGACAAUUUAUGAGUUUGCUGCCAGCUUGCGUGAACAUGAAUAAUUUACGAAAGUUAAAAAUACUGCAAUCAUAGAGCUAGGGAGAUAUGAGAUUGAGACGUGGAAAAACACUUGGAGGAGUCUUACAAUCUAGCAUGUGUUCUUACACUUCCUCCCUAUCAGAGAAAGGAUUAUGGGAAAUUCCUGAUUAGGUUUUGACAAUUGGAGUUAUAGUCAACGAGCGGGCCUUCAAAUGGCUUAGAGAAGAGGCAGAUGCAACUCUGCAUGGUGCCCAAACCUAUAACACCAAUUUGAUUAGCCAUGUCAUCAAUCAAAAUCCCAUCCCAAACUGUACAUGCUUCUUCCAAAGCAUACGACUUUCUGGAUGUAGAUGAUAUCAUACUGCAACUUCGACAAAUAAAGGUACUAAGUUGGAUUUUUACUUUCUCUUUGUUUAAUAAAAAUAGGAGGUCGGGAUUAGUUCUAAAGGGAACUGAUAAAUACUCCAUUCAUCCCAUAGAUUCCAUAUAUGAGCCUUUUGUAUAAAAGUUGCCCCAAACCAGUCGGUCCUCUCUUUUUUGAAUACGUAAUUAUCAACAAUAUUCCAAAAUUAGCCUUUCCUGUAUGCCAUUUUCAAUGUACUCUUUCCAUAAAAUAUGGGUAGAUGUGGAAAAAUUAUAAAAAUUUAAAACUUUUCAAUGUAAAAAAUUUAUAAAAUACUAUCUAAAUUGGGAUGAAGAGAGUAUUGAUCUCGACCAGGCAAGUCCAUAUUACUUGAUAUUAUACAGGUUGAGCUCCUUAAAACAAAGCAAUAGGAAAAAUUUCAUCACCUCCAUUGGAGCAUGGUGGUUCAUUCUAUCAUGUAAAGCUUCUAGACCAGACUUGCAAAAUUCCCAGAUUGGGAAUACGGCUCGAGGAUUGUGGAUUGUCUGACAGUUUAAAAUGACCGGUAUUAUAUAGAUCAUAGAGUUUAUUGUCACAUGCAUCUUAUGCAUUUAACACUUGUCACCAGCUAAAUCAGGUGACUGACAUCACAUAUGAAAUCAAAUGAUCAUGUGUUAAAACAGAUAAAGCCAAGUUAAUAUAGAUAGUUCUUAUUUGGAAUUUGCUUGAAAUUCUGAAUGAUUUAUUGUUUAUCACAGGCUAUGAUCACUACUUGUCUAUGGUAUCGGGAAUUUGAGAUCAUCUCCUAGAAGAUCUUAUUGGAAUUAUUUGUUAAAUUUUUCAAUAAAUAUGUGGAUGUGUAUUCAUUUAAUUAUGUAUUGAAAGAGUGCUCAUAUUAUUAUGUCCUUUUAUUUCCCUUCACUUUUGACAGCUUCAAAUGAAAGUGACGGCUAUUUGUGCUGGAGUUUUUUUUGCUAAAAUCGCUUAUAUAAUUGUUCUAUGUAUGUUGUGCCCUGCAGCUAAACAGAACCAACAAAGAAGCUAUUACAUUCACGAGACCGAUGAAAUAUUAAAUGCAUGAAUGAUUAAUUUUUCUUCUUUGCUGCAUAGUGAACAAAAGCAUCUCGGAAAUAAAGAGCAAAACUACAAUCUUAAUACUAUUAUUGUAGGCCUCUUCACUCUUAAAAAAACAAAAUUAUUGCAUCUAGAGCGUUGCCCGUGCCUCG
Molecule: long non-coding RNA, 1689 nt
Organism: Daucus carota subsp. sativus
Lineage: Eukaryota; Viridiplantae; Streptophyta; Magnoliopsida; Apiales; Apiaceae
Exons: 3
Source: RefSeq, a predicted model, not a curated record